Molecule: small nucleolar RNA, 101 nt
Organism: Bufo bufo (common toad)
Lineage: Eukaryota; Metazoa; Chordata; Amphibia; Anura; Bufonidae
Product: small nucleolar RNA SNORD16
Exons: 1
Source: RefSeq, a predicted model, not a curated record
CACAAUGAUGUCGUAAUUUGCGUCUUACCCCCCACUGUGCGACAGUUGCCUGCUGUCAUAGUGCCAGUGCGGAUGGCUGAUGAAAACACAAAUUCUGAGUG